This 274-nucleotide ribosomal RNA is filed under the name uncultured bacterium. Its description in RNAcentral is "partial 16S ribosomal RNA". It matches the Rfam family "Bacterial small subunit ribosomal RNA", at positions 523 to 796 of the family's 1533-position model. The record is from RNAcentral.
AUACGGAGGGUGCAAGCGUUAUUCGGAAUCACUGGGCGUAAAGGACGCGUAGGCGGGUUGGCAAGUCAGAUGUGAAAUCCUACAGCUUAACUGUAGAACUGCAUUUGAAACUGCUAACCUAGAGUAUGGGAGGGGGAGAUGGAAUUAGUGGUGUAGGCGUAAAAUCCGUAGAUAUCACUAGGAAUACCGAAAGCGAAGGCGAUCUCCUGGAACAUAACUGACGCUAAGGCGUGAAAGCGUGGGGAGCAAACAGGAUUAGAAACCCUAGUAGUCC